AUUGAACGCUGGCGGCAGGCCUAACACAUGCAAGUCGAGCGGAUGAAGGGAGCUUGCUCCUGGAUUCAGCGGCGGACGGGUGAGUAAUGCCUAGGAAUCUGCCUGGUAGUGGGGGAUAACGUCCGGAAACGGGCGCUAAUACCGCAUACGUCCUGAGGAGAAAGUGGGGGAUCUUCGGACCUCACGCUAUCAGAUGAGCCUAGGUCGGAUUAGCUAGUUGGUGGGGUAAAGGCCUACCAAGGCGACGAUCCGUAACUAGUCUGAGAGGAUGAUCAGUCACACUGGAACUGAGACACGGUCCAGACUCCUACGGGAGGCAGCAGUGGGGAAUAUUGGACAAUGGGCGAAAGCCUGAUCCAGCCAUGCCGCGUGUGUGAAGAAGGUCUUCGGAUUGUAAAGCACUUUAAGUUGGGAGGAAGGGCAGUAAGUUAAUACCUUGCUGUUUUGACGUUACCAACAGAAUAAGCACCGGCUAACUUCGUG
Molecule: ribosomal RNA, 483 nt
Filed under: uncultured bacterium
Lineage: Bacteria
Description: partial 16S ribosomal RNA
Rfam family: Bacterial small subunit ribosomal RNA
Source: RNAcentral